AAUUCGACGCAACGCGCAGAACCUUACCUGGUCUUGACAUCCCGGGAAUUCCUUGAAAGAGGGAAGUGCCUCGCAAGAGGAGCCUGGAGACAGGUGCUGCAUGGCUGUCGUCAGCUCGUGUCGUGAGAUGUUGGGUUAAGUCCCGCAACGAGCGCAACCCUUGUCUUUAGUUGCCAUCAUUCAGUUGGGCACUCUAAAGAGACUGCCGGUGUCAAACCGGAGGAAGGUGGGGAUGACGUCAAGUCCUCAUGGCCUUUAUGACCAGGGCUACACACGUACUACAAUGGCCGGUACAAAGGGCAGCCACUUAGCGAUAAGGAGCCAAUCCCGUAAAGCCGGUCUCAGUCCGGAUUGGAGUCUGCAACUCGACUCCAUGAAGUUGGAAUCGCUAGUAAUCGCAGAUCAGCACGCUGCGGUGAAUACGUUCCCGGGCCUU
RNAcentral lists this ribosomal RNA (436 nucleotides) under uncultured Desulfocapsa sp. RNAcentral's name for it is "bacterial SSU rRNA". It matches the Rfam family "Bacterial small subunit ribosomal RNA", at positions 948 to 1382 of the family's 1533-position model. The record is from RNAcentral. Lineage: Bacteria; Pseudomonadati; Thermodesulfobacteriota; Desulfobulbia; Desulfobulbales; Desulfocapsaceae.